This 1866-nucleotide long non-coding RNA is filed under the name Homo sapiens (human). RNAcentral describes it as "non-protein coding DIRC3-AS1:15". Lineage: Eukaryota; Metazoa; Chordata; Mammalia; Primates; Hominidae. The record is from RNAcentral.
AGAGCACUGUUGACAAUGUCUGCCUUCACUUGGAAUUCAGCACCUGCUUUCAGUAUAAACCCCUGCAUUUCACUAAAACUGAGCAGACUGCUGGUUUAAAAAAGAGAGGUCCAUCCAGCAGGGAUGAUGCUUUUCCUCGUUGAAAGAGGACAUUCACCUAAUGGGAGACCUGGAGUCAGAAUCUUUCUGAUGUGUGACUUGGCACAGUAACACAAUGCAGGAUGCUGGUGUGUUAAUAAAAAUAAAAAUUGCAUCGCCUACCUCAGAGUCGACAACAAUGUCAAGGAGUUAAUAGUCUUGGCAACACAGAGGCCACUGGACAGAGGCAUAACCUUGCGUGGCAGCUGCACGGGAAUUGGAUUUGGCUCAGGUGUUUCAGAUGACUAAGUUGGGAGCAUUUGACAAUUUUAGAUGUGGGAUGAAAAUUGCCUUAUCUAAGACAUAGGGCACCUGCAGAAGUAAAGAGAAACAGAACAAAGGGGACCACUCUUGGUAUAGAAGUUCAUCUCGUCGGGAGCAUCUGUGGUUCUUUUAUAAGCAAUGUACAUUCUACAAUAGAGGCAGACCCAGAAAUAAUUCAGAUAUUGGAGUUAGAAGAUCAGGAUUCUAAAAAAACCAAAAGAUCCUGCCUUACUAUGCACCUAUGGCCCUUCAAAGGCGAGAGUAGAAUCUGCUAUGAUUUAGAAGCAAGCAAUAAAAAGUACACAUCAGGUGAGUGGAUGCUAGCUAAGACCUUGGGCUUUGGGGUCAGACAGGCCUGGGUUUAAAUCCUGGCCCUGUCAUUCUGGGGAAACAUGUUUCUGCUUUCUCCUAUAUGAAAUAGAGGCAGUGGGUAUCCUGAACAUGUCACCUUUACUUGUCCAGCUUGUCAGUUAGGGUUUGGUUAGGGAAACAGAGCUGCUGUAAACAUUAUGGGAAUAAGGGAUUUUAUUCAGAAUUGGAGCCUGCACAGAUGUAGAAGGAGGCAUGAAGAGGGUAUUGGAGGAUUGCCCACUAUGCAGUCUGCAUCCUGAGUCUGUGGUGAGGCUGGACACGUUCAAGCUUACAGGAGAACUGGAGAAAGCAAGCAACACAGCGGUGGAAGUGAGACCACUGAAGCAGGGACAAGAGUGGAGGAGACAAACUGGACUCGGAACAAACUGGGAGCCUCUGCAUCCAUCCGUAACUGUCUGGCCGUGACAGUGGUUAGAGAGGAGUGGCUUCUGUGAAACUCUCACAAUCUCAAAUCUCCCACAAGUGCCUCUUUCAGCUAACUCUAAACUGGUACCAUAGAGGAAAUGGAUUCUGAAAACUUGGUCUCCAACCUUAGACAAAUUGAAUAAUUAAUAUGUCCUCUCCUGCUUCUUCUGUAACUGAAUUUGCAUUGGGAAGCAGGCCUGUCACUCUCAGACUUUGUGGUUUGAGUAGGGCUCACUUCAGCACCACCUUUUCCUCUUCUCAGCCCCACGGACUGGCAUGAGACUCAGGCCUGGCCAACUGAAUGUCACACACCUAUGACCAUCAGUUGGCUCAGAGAUGGACUCAGGACACCAUCACAGCCAAUGAAACCCUGUUAGGGAAAUUUGUCAGAACCAUACAAAGAAAUAGCUCCACUUUUCCAUAGAGAUGAGACAUAAGCCUGGACUAACUGGUGUCCAAUUUGCCAUCAAGAGAGCAUCUGAGAAGACAGAGGAAAACUGGGGAAAGCGAAGUCUAAGGAAGGUGAGUAAGGACAAGUCCAGUUGAUAUUACAUGAAUCACCUGGACCUGGAAAUCAAGGCAUUGCUGGAUUCAAGGCCAAGAAAAAUUGGAAGCUGGCUUGAAUCAGGUUCUAUCACUUGCAGUUGAAAAGGUCCAGACUAAUAUGAUAACAAAGGAGCAAGUAAG